Molecule: long non-coding RNA, 932 nt
Filed under: Nicotiana benthamiana
Lineage: Eukaryota; Viridiplantae; Streptophyta; Magnoliopsida; Solanales; Solanaceae
Description: long non-coding RNA (NBEN_LNC015717)
Source: RNAcentral
AAUUGCCUAGGGUUUUUAUUUUAUUAAUAAAAAAGGAAAAUUACAACAAAUAGGAGAAAUAAAAUAAGGGGGAUUACGCCGGUAAUGUUUCCCAUAUAACACUGCCGGGCGUAGACCUUACCUUAGCUAUCCUAUUGAGGCAAAGACCUCUUGGAUUAGCAAGCAUGUAAAAAGAAGGAACUUGCAAGCACUAAGAAAUGACUGAUCAUCACAGAAUUUAUAACAUAUUCUGUGAUGAUAUUACAUAGAAUUAUACUAAUGUGAUGGUAAAAUAAAAAGAUGAGGAAACCAUAAAGGUUCCCUUUUUUCUCUGUUGUUGUGAAAAAUUCGAUUUGUAGUAUGAAGUCUUCUUCCACCUGAUUUUUCAUUAAUUCUUCAAAUUUCAUACUUUAUUCUUGGAUUUAGAAAGUAUCAUUUGAUCAACCUGUUUUGUUUUUGCCUUUCGCAUUGGGGGCCUCCUUAUGUUAACUUUUUUCUCGGAUUUAAAAAAUCAUCUUUUAUUUUUUGAGCGAUUGGACUUUGAUGACGAGCUUGUAGUUGCCUGCUUUUGUUUGGCCGCUCUCAUUGGGAUUUGCCUAACAUUUUGUUUCUUGUCGUACCAUGUUGCAUUUCUCAUCAAAAUAGCACCUGACUUGCUCGUUCCAAUGUGGCCAUCCGCAAUGUUAGGUGGUGUAUCUAGGACGUGAAUGCAUGUGGAAAAAGGAGGCUUACUUGGAAUGAAAUCUGGAGCCUCCCACUUGGUCUUUAAUUUUCCUUUUACAAAGUUUUCAAUAUAUGGACUUUGAAUUGCAUCCUUGAUUACUCUUUCGUUUCGAUGAUUUUCGAAAAGAGAGAUCCCGCUCCCUUUUCAAAUUUGCACAGAAAUGUCGAUGAUCUUUCCACUUAGAAAUAUCGCCAGCAGGUAAAUCUUUGGAAGAAGUCACAGCAAGUUG